UGGCGAACGGGUGAGUAACGCGUGAGGAACCUGCCUCAAAGAGGGGGACAACAGUUGGAAACGACUGCUAAUACCGCAUAAGCCCACGGGUCGGCAUCGACCAGAGGGAAAAGGAGCAAUCCGCUUUGAGAUGGCCUCGCGUCCGAUUAGCCAGUUGGUGAGGUAAUGGCCCACCAAGGCAACGAUCGGUAGCCGGACUGAGAGGUUGAACGGCCACAUUGGGACUGAGACACGGCCCAGACUCCUACGGGAGGCAGCAUG
RNAcentral lists this ribosomal RNA (261 nucleotides) under uncultured bacterium. Its description in RNAcentral is "partial 16S ribosomal RNA". It matches the Rfam family "Bacterial small subunit ribosomal RNA", at positions 96 to 353 of the family's 1533-position model. The record is from RNAcentral.